UGGUCCCUCUGGGCCCUUGGGUCGAUGUACCCUUUAUGUUUAUUUAUGUUAUUUAACAUAAACAAACACAAAGGGUGCGUCAACCCAUAUCCCCCUGUGACCAUUGAGCAACUUAAGAUAUCCGUGUACACAUGCUGAUAUACAUAUGUAGGAUAUACUGAUAUGUGUAUACAAAAAUCAGUGUGCACAUAUACAGAUAUACAUUUAUAUGAUCAUUUUUUAUACAUCGAUAUUCAUGUAUGAAAAAUUAUCAUAUACGUGUAUGUACGUGCAUAUGUUAAUAGCAGAGUAAACAUAUGCAAGUAUACAUAUAUGCCAUGUUGUGAUAUGUGUAUGUGUGUAUGCUUAUAUCACAUACGCUGAUAUAUACUGAUAUAUACAACCACAUCUACUGUGUGUGCAUGUACUGACAUGGCCUAGCUGUAAGUUGUUGCAUGAUGAUAUGCCAUGCUGCAUAGUUGACACAGGUGUUAGGGAAGUUUUCGUUUCAGUGUUUUUACUUCUGAAUCCAGAUGCAAUUUCUCAUGGAUAUGAUUUAAUAAGUUGUAUAAACACUUUUAGAUAUUGGUUUGUGUGUUAUGUUGCUGUUAACAUUGUGACAGUCUGGGGUGCUGGUGUAUCUUACUGUUGUAACAUUUACCUCAUCUGUUUGGUUGGUGAAACAUUGUGACUCUCAAGGGUCAAGACAUUUCGGUAUGUCUGUUUACAAGUUCAGAGAGCAACACUAAGCUGCAUAUCUUAUUACAGUAAACUACAGCUAUAAUGAACUCAAAGGGACUAAAUUUAGUUCACUGUAACUGCAGUUUGUUAUACACAUUUCAACUAAAACAUACAGUAAGUGGACAAGACCAAAAAAUCAGUUUGUUAUACCCAGUUUGUUAUAAGCGUGGUCAUUAUCAAUGCAGUUAACUGUAUGUUGAGAUCUUUCUUUUUGCCUUGCAUGCAUAACAAGAUCUGGAUUUAUCAUCACUCUAACAAUUAAUUGCCAUGCAAGAAUUAAGUAAUGUCAUAAUGUACCUGCUUCCUGAACACGAUACACUAAUCUCCUGAUACAGUAUGUGUCCUGAUGACCUCACGCUUUUGAUGCAAUAUGCGUCAAAAUACAGACUUAAAAAAGACCCAUUUUUCAGGAAUUUCAAUACAGAUAGAUAUUCAGAAAUCAAAAUGAAACAAACUGGUCUAAGAAUACCAUGUUACAUAUUUGCUACAAUCAGUGAGGUUCUUCCUUUAUGCUUUUUUUUAACUGGAACUGGCCUUAUCCGCUUUACCAUUAAUGGAUAUUUGAUUCCCAAAACAUUUUGGUAUUGACACAAGUCAAAUCAUAUUGUGAUAUUAAGAAGGAAGGAACCAGUUGGGACAAGAGAAAUCACCAAUCUGAGGAAUAUCUACAUCUGAAAUCCUUUCUGGGCCAGUAAUAAGUUAUCAGUUUGGUGUAGUAUUGAAUAUAAGAAUCAUCCAAAUUAUAAACAUCAACUAUAGAUUGCAUCUGAACCUUAGGGAGCUGUAUACUCUAUCAUAGUGUCAUGGUGUACAUACUGUGUGAUCAUGGACAUUAGACACCUCCUAUACCUAGGUUGACCUCAGCAUAAUCUUCAACACCUAUACAUCGUGUUCCAGUUCUAUCCAUGCCUAUCUUUUCCAGCAUUCUGUAGUAAUCAAUAUCUAGAUGAACAUUUGGCAUCAAUCUCAAACAUUCUGACCUAGGUGGCAAAUAUCGCAUCAUUCUGUGGAAAUCCAUACCAAGAUGACCAUAUUGACAUUAUUGUCCAAGAUCACAAUCUUGGUAUCAUUCUUUUAACAAUCCAAUACCCAGGUGACCAUCUUGGUAUCAUUCUUAUAACAGUCCAAUACCCAGAUGACCAUCUUGGUAUCAUUCUUAUAACAGUCCACACUUUGGUGAUCAUCUUGGCAUCCUGCUCCAACAAUCCACAAGAAGGUGACCACUCUGUUCUCAUAAGGGCAUCAUUUUUUUAUGUGUUUCAUGUAGCCACCAAAUUCUAACAUGGUUCGGUCAGUUGAGAAAACAAAAUUAAUAAACACAACAUUAUUUGAAUAAUGUUCUUGAUUCUCAUUUAUUGUAAUUCUUAUUACAAUUUCUCGCUUUCUUUGGACUUGUGGCAGCGACUGAUUGAAGGAUAAACAUUUUAUAUGAUGAGGCGUUACGUUUUAGGUUUGAGUUGGCGCUUUGUUAUCACUCUCAUGACAAUCCAUACGUAGGUGGCCAUUCUGUAAUGAUUUCUCUAACAAUGCAUACCAGUGUGAUAUACUUAGGUAACAUGAUGCCAUAAUUCUCCAACAAUCCAUAUCUAGUUAAAGAUUUUGAUUUUAUUUCCUAACAGUGCAAACUUAGGUGACCAUUUUUGCAUCAUCAUUCUAUCCUACAUGGCACAGUCUAUAUCUGUGCUACCUUAUAUCUAUAUUUACCUUAUUACAUCAUCAGUAGUAUCUUCUCUUAAACAUAGGUAGCUUAUAUAGAAUAGUCCUUAUUACAGGGUAUUUGUAGAUGAAACAGUUCAUUUGUAAGACAAUCUAAACUUCCAUUCUCUCUUCCUUCCCCUCACCUAGACUAGGGUAUGCCUCACAAGUAGAAGUGUUUCACAUCCCUCAACAGUGUUACACUGGAGUGUAGUGAUUAUACAGCUGUGGAAUAAUACAUGCAGUGUUAGAGAGUAGUGAUUAUACAGCUGUGGAAUAAUACAUGCAGUGUUAGAGUGUAAUGAUUAUACAGCUGUGGAAUAAUACAUGCAGUCAGAGCACAGUAAUUAUGCAGCUGUGGAAAAAUAGUUCCUGUGUUAGUGCUGUGUUAUGAUUUACAUAAGUACCAUGUAUCAAAGAAUAAACAAGAAAUAGUAUACCAUUUUGGCAAUUGUUCAUGUAACUCUCAGCUCAGUUGUCAUAUCCUGGUAGAAUGAGAUCAGAUUCAUAUCCUGAUAUUUACAUAACUAACCAUAGAUUUAUAUUUACCUAAAUAUUCAUUAUUUUUAAAUAUUUACCUAAGUGUUCAUCUAGCAAUUACAUAACACAUAUCAACAUAUCCACACAUUCAUGUGUAAUCUACUGAAGUAUACAUUCCAUCUUGUAUUAUAAUGUUAAUUCACUGGUUUUUAAACAGUUCGUUGUUUUGAAGAUUCAGAUGAGAAAUUUCAGUAUAUUCUUUCUAAGUGAAUCAUUCAGGAAAUGAUAUUAAGAUUCCGCAUGCAACUUUAGGUAGAAACCACUAACAUUCUUGAGGUCUGUAUUACACAUAUCCUGGCUGUAUUAUCUGACAGUCUAGUGUGUAGUGUUGAGGGGAACCAACUGAGCACUGUCCCACUGUAUUGUAGGAACCUAUGCAAUCUAGUUAGUCAGUUGAUACAGGUGUACAGAUACUCUCAGCAUUAUGUGGGUGGUGUCCUUCACUAUGUUUGUUGGGAAUGUCGGGACUCAUGUUUGUCUCUGGUAUGGUGGUAUCUUCUUCCAAGUAGGAGUUAUGGUUUAAGGACUGCUUCCCUUUCAUGAAACAGGGAGACACAUGCAUGCAGAUGUUGCUAGGUAGGCCACACAGGAGACUGUGAAACACUUCUAAUGACAACAUUGUGAUUGGAUUGGAUCACAUGAUCAAGUCAUGUGACCUCUGACCUGAAAGCUGAACUGUGACCUAGCCACAUCCAGAUUAUAUUUUUAUAUUACAAGGCUACAGCUAGUCUUUAUGAUUGCAUCAUGUUAGACUGAAUAAAUCUGUUGACAUAUU
Molecule: long non-coding RNA, 3730 nt
Organism: Haliotis rubra (blacklip abalone)
Lineage: Eukaryota; Metazoa; Mollusca; Gastropoda; Lepetellida; Haliotidae
Exons: 2
Source: RefSeq, a predicted model, not a curated record